This is a long non-coding RNA of Peromyscus eremicus (cactus mouse), 1613 nucleotides long. RefSeq lists it as uncharacterized. NCBI's taxonomy places the organism in Eukaryota, Metazoa, Chordata, Mammalia, Rodentia, Cricetidae. The transcript is spliced from 3 exons. The record is from RefSeq and is a predicted model, not a curated record.
AAAAAAAAAAAAAAAAAAAAUGGAAAACCAGUGACAACAGGGAAAUGGGGCUGGAAGGGAGAGAAGGAAGUGGCGACUUUAGCCAGAGAGAACUUCAGAGAGGAGCCAAGCCUCGGAGGAUAUGUGUGUGCUAGGUAGAAGAGAGUAACGUAUGUGCAAAGGCACAGGCAGAGAAGAGCACGGUCAGCCCAUGUCACCAGCGUCCCCUCCCUACUAAUCUCCUCCGAUGCCACAAAAAGGCUUGCAAGGCUCCUUAUUCAUUCUUCUAUAUAGAAAUGGCAUUGCCCAUUCAAUCUGGUCCAUAACAUCCAUUUCUUUCUCAACCUGGCAGGCAGAUUGAUCACUUCUCAGCCCUCACCUCUCAUAGGCUCUGCAAGUUGAGAGCAGAUGCUUGGAGCCAGUUAAGCCUGGGACUCGUAUCUCUAUCCCACACCUUCGAUGGGAAAAAAAAAAAAAAAAAAAAAAGACACACUUGUCAGCACAUUGGAAAUCAGGAGGCUGGGAGCACCAAUCCAUCAGGAGCCAACAUGGGGAACUGGCCUACCUGAGAAUGGAUGGAAUGCAGAACAGAGGGCAGAGCACAAAGGACCUACUAUGUGCUGGGCACAGUGCUAGACACUUCUUUGAAGUGGUUGAUUUGCAGCCACGCGUGGGAUUUAUUAUUAAUUUAACCCCAGGUGAAUCAAUCAGAGCUCACACAAUAGUAGUUUGUUCAAGGUCACACAGCACAGAAAGGGCUGGAGAAUCUUCCUGAUAGGCAUGGAGGUACCACAACCAAUGGAGGAACUAGCAUCCAAUGACUCCAGUGGUAUUCUUGAAUGCAGGAGAAUCUGAAGCCAGCAUCCACCUGAGAGACAGCCAAUGGCUACAGAACAGCAUCAUCACCCAUCUCCCUGUGAGGUGAAAGGACUCUCCCAAAGCCCUUCAGGAGUUGGGUACCACAGGUAAAACCCCAGAUCUCUUGGCUACUCUCUAGACAUAGCUACUUUCCCUGCAUACAGCUCGCCAUGAAGACUACCCUUUGUGACAUAAACAGGAUUUCUCCUAUUUGAACCCUGAGACAGGGAAGCCAGAGUCCUCUGGGGUUAAACACGCUAUUGAUGUGACAAGUCAACACCUCAUCCUUUGCUUACAGCCCAAGAAAAUUACAACAGUCCAGGGGUGACAGCUUCCGACCAGACAGACAUGGAGCCUCACACCCCCGCUGCCAUGCCUUCCUGCGGUGAUGGACAGCGCCCUUGAACGGACACGUUUUUCUGAAGUCUAAGAUAAACACACAGAGCCCUCUAUGUCUUAAGUGGCACAGUCGGGGAAUUUGACAUGCAAAGAAGCCAGCACCCACGUCAGGAAAGAGAUCAGCAGAACCUCGGAUGCCCAUCACAUCUGCUCCCUUUCAGCUACGGUCUGACUCUCAUCUUCAAGAUGGAGGGAAGCACUUAGACUCAAAGGCAGGGAGCGGUAUGUCAGUGAUUAUUACAUGGUAUUAACGGUAGCACGGCAUCAGGCAGCGGAAGGCAGGGAGGGAGAAGUCGUAGCACAAACUGAGGCUUUGGGACUAGCAGAGGCUGUGGGAAUGCAAACAGUGGAAGCAGUAGUAGCAGUAGAUGCUGCUG